This 383-nucleotide ribosomal RNA is filed under the name uncultured bacterium. Its description in RNAcentral is "bacterial SSU rRNA". It matches the Rfam family "Bacterial small subunit ribosomal RNA", at positions 29 to 396 of the family's 1533-position model. The record is from RNAcentral.
AACGAACGCUGGCGGCGUGCUUAACACAUGCAAGUCGAGCGGGAAAGUUUCCUUCGGGAAGCGAGUACAGCGGCAGACGGGUGAGUACGACGUAGGUAACCUACCCUCGAGACUGGGAUAACCUGUCGAAAGACGGGCUAAUACCGGAUAAGACCACAAGGGCUGCGGCCUUUGAGGUAAAGAUGGCCUCUGCUUGCAAGCUAUCACUUGGGGAUGGGCCUGCGCGCCAUUAGCAGUUGGUGAGGUAACGGCUCACCAAGGCAAAGAUGGCUAGCUGGUCUGAGAGGAUGGCCAGCCACACUGGGACUGAGACACGGCCCAGACUCCUACGGGAGGCAGCAGUGGGAAUAUUGCGCAAUGGGCGAAAGCCUGACGCAGCGACG